Molecule: non-coding RNA, 731 nt
Organism: Haplochromis burtoni (Burton's mouthbrooder)
Lineage: Eukaryota; Metazoa; Chordata; Actinopteri; Cichliformes; Cichlidae
Source: the annotation of a RefSeq genome assembly
GGACUCACAUCUGUCAGUCAACACAGCAGAAAGCACAAUCACCAUGACUCUCAUCACCAUCCUCAUCUGGACGCUGACCUGCUGCUGUUUUACAGGAUGCAGCGGUCAGGUGACUGUGACUCAACCUCCAGUACUGACAUCUACUCCUGGAAACAAUGUCACUCUGACCUGUAGGACCAGCCAAGCUGUUUACAGAUUUGAUGAUGGUGAUGAUGCUAUGUACUGGUAUCAACAGAAAUCUGGACAGGCUCCAAAGCUCCUAAUAAAAUAUGCAAAAACGCUUCAGUCAGGAACACCAACUCGAUUUAGUGGCAGUGGAAGCAGCUCUGACUUCUCUAUGACCAUCAGUGGAGUUCAGACUGAAGAUGCAGCAGUUUAUUAUUGUCAGAGUUUCCACAGCGGGCCAGUGUUCACACAGUGAUUUGUAGUCGUACAAAAACCUCCCUCAGUCAGACUGCAGAGACACUGAGCUGUUACAGCAGAAAAUGACUGCAGCUGCUGAAGAGGAAGAAACUCUGACACAGACCAGUGAACACAGAGCUGACAGUAACCUCACCAAGCACUAAAUACUCAUCUACACUUCUUUUGGGGAAUUCUGAAAUAUUCACUCCCUUUUAUCAUCUUCAAUGCCCUGUACCAACACUGAGCAGAGCAGCUAUCUGAACACUGCUCCAACAGAGGUCGAUCAUCUUGUUAAUAAUUUUGCCUCCUCACUAAGUAUGACUCUGGUU